Molecule: ribosomal RNA, 460 nt
Filed under: uncultured bacterium
Lineage: Bacteria
Description: partial 16S ribosomal RNA
Rfam family: Bacterial small subunit ribosomal RNA
Source: RNAcentral
CCUACGGGUGGCAGCAGUCGAGAAUCAUUCACAAUGGGGGAAACCCUGAAGGUGCGACGCCGCGUGAGGGAAGACGGCCCUAUGGGUUGUAAACCUCUUUUGUCGGAGAACAAAACCAGGGACGUGGCCCGGACUGCGUGUAUCCGAAGAAAAAGCAUCGGCUAACUCCGUGCCAGCAGCCGCGGUAAUACGUAGGGGGCAAGCGUUAUCCGGAUUUAUUGGGUUGAAAGGGCGCGUAGACGGCGGUGAAAGCCAGAUGUGAAAGCCCGGGGCACAACCCCGGGACUGCAUUUGGAACUGUGCUGCUAGAGUGUCGGAGAGGCAGGCGGAAUGCGUAGUGUAGCGGUGAAAUGCGUAGAUAUUAGGAGGAACACCAGUGGCGAAGGCAGCCUGCUGGACGAUGACUGACGUUGAGGCUCGAAAGCGUGGGGAGCAAACAGGAUUAGAUACCCGAGUAGUC